UAGUACGGCGAGUGAGAGGGAGAGCCCAAGAUUGAAAGCUGGCGUCUUCGGCGUCCGCAUUGUAAUCUCAAGAAGUGUUUUCCGCUUCGGACCAAGCCUAAGUCCCCUGGAAAGGGGCAUCAUAGAGGGUGAUAAUCCCGUACAUGGCUUGGAGCGCCCGAGGCUUUGUGAUACGCUUUCUAAGAGUCGAGUUGUUUGGGAAUGCAGCUCAAAAUGGGUGGUAAAUGCCAUCUAAGGCUAAAUAUUGAGGAGAGACCGAUAGCGAACAAGUACAGUGAUGGAAAGAUGAAAAGAACUUUGAAAAGAGAGUUAAACAGUACGUGAAAUUGCCAAAAGGGAAGGGUAGGAGGUCAGAGAUGCGGCUUGGGAUUCAGCCUUGCUUUUGCUUGGUGUUUUUCCCAGAUUGCAGGCCAACGUCGGUUUUGGGCACUGGGGAAGGGUAGGAGGAACGUGGCACCCCUCGGGGUGUGUUAUAGCCUCCUACUGGAUACAGCGACCGAGACCGAGGACAGCAGCGUACUCGCAAGAGCGGGCCUUCGGGCACCUUUACGCUUAGGGCGUUGGCAUAAUGGCCCUCUACCACCCGUCUUGA
RNAcentral lists this ribosomal RNA (592 nucleotides) under uncultured Pseudozyma. RNAcentral's name for it is "eukaryotic LSU rRNA". It matches the Rfam family "Eukaryotic large subunit ribosomal RNA", at positions 81 to 657 of the family's 3401-position model. Lineage: Eukaryota; Fungi; Basidiomycota; Ustilaginomycetes; Ustilaginales; Ustilaginaceae. The record is from RNAcentral.